Neofelis nebulosa (Clouded leopard) is the source of this 1102-nucleotide long non-coding RNA. RefSeq lists it as uncharacterized. The transcript is spliced from 4 exons. NCBI's taxonomy places the organism in Eukaryota, Metazoa, Chordata, Mammalia, Carnivora, Felidae. The record is from RefSeq and is a predicted model, not a curated record.
UGUCUAGAAAAGGAAAAUAGUUUCUUCCAUUCAAGAAGCCCCACUCCCUGCCCCCAUCAGCCAGGAAUUUUCUGGGCUUGGUCAAAGGUCCCUUAAGGGGGAGGAAGCUGCUUCUCCUGCUCUGGGGGGUGGAGCCGCUGAGGCACCUUCCUGGUCUGCUCCUGUUUUUCCUCAGUGAUCCCUUCUCAGGCACCCAGGCCCAUGAUUUCUUGCUCCCCACCGCCACUGCAAAGAAGACCCAGAAGGUAGGGAAGCAGAGUCAACACACAGCGUGAAGGAGCCAGGCUGGAGCAGUUCCUGGCUUGGGGACACUCGAAGGCCUCCUCUUCCAGAAGCUGCGGAGAGAACCCGUCCAGUGGUGGCAAACGCGCUACCAAGGUGAUGUCGCUGAGCACAGAGCUGGGAAGAGAUGUGGUCGGCUGUCCCAAGCUGUCGCAACACACGGACUGUCUUGCCCUUGGGGAGUUUACCUUCUAGUAGGGCACUGCAUUCUAGCGCUAUGUGUUAAUCCAGAAUAAAACUAUCUGCAAAAGGAAAUCCAAAAGGAAAACGAACGCUUCACAUGAGAGGAUUUCUCCGUUUCUCUCUCUGCCUUUUCUUCCCUCCCCCUCCCAUGCAUAUAUCCAUUUCCCUUGCUGGAGUCAUUCAAAGUUGCGGGUGGGUGGGGGAGGGGAGCGUUAAAUGCCCCUUGCCAGUCUGCCCCUCAACUUGACUCUGUGCUUUCAGAUCCCAACACUAAUCUGUCUUCCUCCCCCUGUUGCUGCCAUAUCCAAGUCAGGACUUUGAAACACCGAGCAAGACCAUGAGAAGAAGUCCAAAGCUCAGUAUAUCUGACAAGUGCUGUCAUAAGAUAAGCCACCUGACCUGUGGAGGGGAGGUUUAUGCUCAAAGGGCACGGCUCAUCUCCUCUGCCGCUUCGGCCUCUGUAUUUGGAUAAUUCUCAGCCUGGAAGCUGACAAGUGUCUGUGCCUUGUGCCAAAGGCCUAGAAACAUCACUCAGAAAGUCAGAGGACCAGCACCUCUCAAUUCGGAAAUGCAAUUCCCAAUGCUCAAGUUAAAUGAAAGGGGAAAUUCUACUAACUUUGUCGGGGGGGGGGGGGGG